This 401-nucleotide ribosomal RNA is filed under the name uncultured bacterium. Its description in RNAcentral is "bacterial SSU rRNA". It matches the Rfam family "Bacterial small subunit ribosomal RNA", at positions 356 to 774 of the family's 1533-position model. The record is from RNAcentral.
GGGGAAUAUUGCACAAUGGGCGAAAGCCUGAUGCAGCAACGCCGCGUGAGUGAUGAAGGCCUUCGGGUUGUAAAGCUCUGUCUUCUGGGAUGAUAAUGACGGUACCAGAGGAGGAAGCCACGGCUAACUACGUGCCAGCAGCCGCCGUAAUACGUAGGUGGCAAGCGUUGUCCGGAUUUACUGGGCGUAAAGGAUGCGUAGGCGGAUACUUAAGUCAGAUGUGAAAAUCCCGGGCUUAACUUGGGAACUGCAUUUGAAACUGGGUAUCUAGAGUGCGGGAGAGGAAAGUGGAAUUCCUGGUGUAGCGGUGAAAUGCGUAGAGAUUAGGAAGAACACCAGUGGCGAAGGCGACUUUCUGGACCGUAACUGACGCUGAGGCAUGAAAGCGUGGGGAGCAAACA